AUGAUACGGGAACGCUACCUCCCAUUCCCCUCGAUUACCAUAGUGUUCCACCAAGUUCGUUGUGCAAUUUUCAAAACCCUAGCUUCGAUGAACAACAAAAUCACAUUGCAGGGACGCUACCUCCCAUUCUCCUCGAUUACCGUAGUGUUCCACCAAGUCCGUCGUGCAAUUUUCAGAACCCUAACCUCGACGAACAACAAAAUCACUCUGCAAUCGUACCAAAUAAAUGAAACCACACAUAAUUCUGACUUUUGCUUUGCACAAGAGGAAGAACCGGCAAAGAACCAUCACUGCCCUGCCUGUCUCACAGGUUGGGACCAAACACGACAGAAACAUGGCCGCCGCACAACAGAAUCGGACCCAAAAGAGAAAAGGAAAAAAAAUCACACACACAUUCUCAAGCGGUGCGGCGCGGUGGCUCCUCCCCAUUCCCGAGUUCCGACCGGCCACCGAGACACGGACACACACACCCCGCGGCUCCGACCGACCAUGGCCGCCGCCUCCGCCGCCGCCCUCGCGUCGCCGCGCACCGCGCGGCAGCUCGUCGACGCCCUCACCGCGCACCUCUCCCUCUACCACGCCGCCAACCCUAGCAGCCCCUCCCCCUCCCCCUCCCCAUCCCCAUCCCCCACCCCGCGCGCCGCGAUCCUGCGGUGGCUGGCCGCGCUGCCGCCGCCGGCGCGGGCCGCGGCCUGCACGGCCCUCCUGCCGCCGCCCGCCGCGGCCGCGCUCCUCUCCAUGCUCCGCCGCCUCCGCCUCCGCGGCCACUCCUCCUUCUUCGUCCUCGCCGACCCGGCCCCCACCGACCCCUCCUCCCCCACCGUCCUCUCGCGCCUCUCCCGGGGCCUGCUCGCCCGGGCCGCCGCCGCGUCCCGCGUGCACGAGCUCCUCUUCGCCCGCGCGCUCCUCUUCACCGCCACCCCCGCCUCCCACCGCCCCGAUGCGAUCACGCUCGCCGAGCCCCUCCUCGCCGACCUCGACGCCUUCGUCGCCGCCAUGGACGAGAUCUCCGGCGGCGCCUUCCUCCGCGCAGGCGACGGCGAGGUGGAUUUGGCCGCAUUGGCGUCCGAGGAGUUCCCCGAGCUGCCCUGGCUGAAAGCCAAGGGGUACUACGUGAUCGAGGAGUUCGUCGCCAACUGGGUCGAGAUCGCGCUGCGGAUGUCGUGGGCGGCGGCCGCGGCCGGGGGAGGCGCCGGCGGUGGGAAGAAGGCGGUGAGGGUUGGGAGGUGCGUCAAGGAGAAGGCCGGGCUGGCGUCGACGGCCUUCUGGAGGGAGAAGGGGUAUGUGGACUGGUGGAUGCGGCUGGAGCCCCGGGUCAGAGCAAGGAUCACUGGGGCCUUCUUCGGGAAGAGUGCAAAGGCGCUGGCUAAUGAGAUUGAAGGAUCAGAUGUUGCUUCUAGCGAUUCUGGAUCAUUUCUUGCAGACAGUUUGUAUGGAAGUACACGGCAGUCAUUUUUCAGAAAGAAUCAACCUGGUUGCGGCGAUGUUGCAAGCAUUCUGUCUUGUAAAAAGAAGCCUGCUUUUGCUAAAGAAUUAAAAAGAUUGCUAGUGCUUCAGGAGAUAGUGUGUUUAAAGAGCAAUAUUACUUUCUGUGGCGGUGAUGCAAUCUUUCUCACUUCAUUAAUGUCAGCUGGCACUGUUGCUGACAAUAUACUCAUGAGAUUACGAAGACUUCUCAUGGUGGUGUCGACGGAAAGUAUAAAUUUGGAGCUCAUUGGGGAUGGAGCAUCAAAUAAUCCAAAAAAGAAUGUUGAAAAGACAAGUGUAGGUUCUCGAAAAGGAAAGAAGAAGUCUAGUAGCUCGAAAAAGCUAGCAGCGUCUUCCAAGUCGUCCAAGGACAAUGGAUGCAGUAGCACAGAAACCCGAAAUUCUAGGAUUGUGUCAAAGUCAAGCCAGCAGACUCCAUCUGUUCGAUGCACUAUUAUUGGACCCGCUUCUGAAGGAACUCCUUGCAAAGAAAUUGCACCAAUACCAAAGGCGGAGCAAGCUAUCAGGUCGGCGGAUUGCAAUAAUCAGUGUAACAAAAAGAAAAACAAACGUAAAGGGAAGGCAAAACUCUCUGAUCUUAUAAGAGCUGAGAACCCUGGACCUGGCAAACUGAAGACAGCUGUUGCUCAUGUUGCUACAGAAGCCUUGCAUAAAUCUGCCGAAGCAGUAGAUGCCCCACUGCGUGUCCCAUCUCAUGUGAAUACAUCCAGCAAUGACAUCCCUGAAGCAGUGGGUUGUUCUGAGUCUUCAAGUAUCUUUGAUGGAACUGAAGAAAAAGGCAUCAAAAGCAGCAGAAAACUGGAAGAUACCUUAUGUUCUAUGGUUAUCUCAUCAGUAACCACAGAGAGUUGUCAGAGUGCACAAAAACCUUCCAACUUUAGUGUGAAUGAGCAGAGCCCAUCACACACUAGUCUAAAUGAAUCCAUGGUCCAACCAUCUUUAUGUUCACCUUCCAGUAGUGAUAAUGUUUUAUCUGGUAAUCCAUGUAGAAACUCUGCUGACUCCUUGGUAAGAUCUGCACAGGAUAAGACUGGCUGUGAUAUAACACAGGGAGCUUUGCAUGGACUUGCUCCUGGUGUUGGUAAAGGAUACGAGAAACAAGUGGAUCAUAGUUCUGUUGUGACAACCGACAAACUUUUACCAUCAGUCAUUCCUGCUAACAUUCUCCAAAGUGCUAUAAGUGACAAUGGUACAGCAGUGAAGAAUGGUGUAGAUGAAUAUUAUGCAUUCAACCGGAACCUACUGGGAGGAACGUCAUAUGAGUGGCCUAGUGUAGCACCCCAUUUUGUAUCACCUGAAAUGCAACAGCGCCCUGCUGCAGCAGACAGGUUGCAUCUUGACGUUGGUUACAGAUGGCCUACUCAAUUUAACCAACCUUUCAUUCCUGCCAACCAUCAGGUGAGAAGCUCACCAGUUGAAGCUGGAUGCAAUCAAAUGUUAUCUUCUCUGUCAGUGCCCUUAAGUUUUGAUUGGCCUCCUGUUUUCAGAGGUUAUGGUAAAUUGACUCAAAAUGCUGCUUUAAGUUAUGAUCCAGUAUUUGCCCCACAUAUGCAGUCUUCUGCUUGGCCUGGGUUUCCUGCUCAACUAAUUCAGAGAGGUGGCAUUUGCAGUGAAAAAGAUAGGAAAUAUUUUAGCGAUAGUGACCCAAGAAACACAUCAGAUGUUGGGGAUGAUACUGAAAGCUAUUGGUUUUCUGAAGAAGAAUCAGAUGGCCGCGCAACUUCUGGAAGAGAUAUUAAUCAAUAUUUUGGCGGAGGCGUGAUGUAUUGGAGUCCUGCAGAACAUGCUGGAACGGGCUUUUCUAGGCCACCAUCUCUUAGUUCAGAUGACAGUGCUUGGGCAUGGCAUGAGGCAGAUGUUAGUCGAGUUGUCGAUGAUCUGGCUAUUGGGAUUCCAUCAUCAACAUAUAAUCCAACUGGUCCAUCGUCACCACCAUCCAGCCCAAGCCCAUUCUGUUCCCAGAAUGAACCUUCUGAUCCUUCUCCUCAGCCUGCUUGUCACUCAGUGGCAGGGAAUGACAUCAAUAAUGAAGCUUCACAUUCUCCAUCUUCCAUGCAAGACAGUCCUGAAGAUAAGAGUACUUCGGUUGUAAAGAGUCCAUCUUGUGCCAGUGAAAUAGUAAAGGGAGAUACAUUACCAUAUGCAAUGCUGCGGCCAAUAGUUGUUUCUAAUAUAUCACGAAGGCUAUCAAGAUCUGACUUUAGGGGUGGUCAUGAUCGCAGGAGCCCAUGUGUGUCUUCGACCAGGAGGGAUAUACCUCUUGUAAGAAGACCUCCAUCACCAGUAUUACUUAGUGUUCCUCGCAUGCCUCGGCCACCUCCUCCUUCUCCUGUUGGAGAGUCAAGAAAACGUGGAUUCCCAAUUGUUAGAUCUGGCAGUUCAAGCCCGCGGCAUUGGGGGAUGAGAAGUUUGUUUUCUGAUGAUAAAAUUUUCAAUAGGGCUCAGUUUUGCUUGGAUGGCCCUGAAGUCGUAUGGCCUUCAUGGGUGAAUAAAGGCACCUCUACUGGUACACUGGUACAAUCAAUUGAGGAUACUGUCUUGCAGGACCACCUUGUUAAGAUUUCACAGCUUUCACGUGAUCAACAUCCAGAUGUUGCAGUUCCUCUGCAGCCACCUGAUAUGUUAAAUGGUUCACCUCACAAGGCGUCCCUUUCUUUGAUGCACAAUGCUCUACAUGAAGAAAUUGAUCAAUUCUGUAAGCAGGUUGCUGCUGCAAAUCUGGUGACGAAGCCCUAUAUAAAUUGGGCUGUCAAAAGGGUCACACGGUGCCUGCAAGUCCUCUGGCCCCGCUCGCGUACAAAUCUAUUUGGCUCAAAUGCCACUGGUUUGGCCCUUCCAACUAGUGAUGUAGAUCUCGUGGUUUCUCUCCCCCCAGUCCGAAAUCUGGAACCUAUUAAAGAAGCUGGAAUUUUGGAAGGCCGCAAUGGCAUUAAGGAAACAUGCCUCCAGCAUGCGGCAAGGUGCCUUGGAAAUCAGGAUUGGGUUAGGAGUGAUUCCCUCAAAACGAUUGAAAACACAGCAAUACCUGUGAUCAUGCUUGUAGCCCAAGUACCUUGUGACAUAAAUAUGUCCAACGAGUACCCUUCUGUUCUGGAUAGCUCACAAGAAAUUUCAGUCAAUGUGCUUGGGGAGCAAGGGAGCCCUCCUCGUUCUGACAAUUCUAGUUCAGAAGGCAGCAACGCGCUUGCGGGCUCAAAAAUGAAUAAGGAUGAUUGUGAUGCUGUGCGGUCAAUACGUCUUGAUAUAAGUUUCAAAUCACCAUCCCACACAGGACUCCAGACUACUGAGUUGGUUGGUGAGCUGACUCAGCAAUUUCCUGCGGCUUUACCCCUUGCCUUAAUCAUGAAGAAGUUUUUGGCAGAUCGUAGUUUGGACCACCCAUAUUCGGGUGGUCUAAGCUCUUACUGUUUGGUGUUGUUAAUCACUCGUUUUCUUCAGCAUGAACAUCAUCUUGGUCGGCCUAUUAACCAAAAUCUAGGGAGCCUUUUGAUGGAUUUCCUGUAUUUUUUUGGGAAUGUGUUUGAUCCACGCCAUAUGCGUAUUUCCAUCCAAGGAAGUGGAAUUUAUUUGAACCGAGAAAGAGGGCACAGCAUUGAUCCAAUUCAUAUCGAUGACCCUCUUUGCCCUGCUAACAAUGUGGGCCGGAAUUGUUUCCGGAUCCACCAAUGCAUCAAGGCUUUUGCUGAUGCUUUUGCAGUUCUAGAGAACGAGCUACUGCAGUUCACUGCAGAAUGUAACAUGCCUUCAUCAUCAUUUAGCCUACUGAAGAAAAUAAUUCCAAGUAUUGAUUCUAAUGAGUUGUAG
This 5292-nucleotide ribosomal RNA is filed under the name Triticum aestivum (bread wheat). RNAcentral's name for it is "partial small subunit ribosomal RNA". Lineage: Eukaryota; Viridiplantae; Streptophyta; Magnoliopsida; Poales; Poaceae. The record is from RNAcentral.